Molecule: long non-coding RNA, 1604 nt
Organism: Archocentrus centrarchus (flier cichlid)
Lineage: Eukaryota; Metazoa; Chordata; Actinopteri; Cichliformes; Cichlidae
Exons: 3
Source: RefSeq, a predicted model, not a curated record
UAAUUGUAAUUAAACGUUUUAGUAAUCAUUACUUAUUCUUUCGUCUUUGGUAAAAAUGUUGUCCCAUUACUAAAUCAAAUUAGUUAACUGUACGUUUCUACACAAAUAUAGAGUGUAAUGAACUUGUUAAGCAGAGAUUACUAAAGAUAUUAUGUUUUUGAAGUGAAGGGGCGGGGCAUAUUCAAACUGCUGCAACAUGCACCGUGGCAAGUUCAACGGCUCCUGACUGGUCCGUGUGAAGAUGCAGUGGAAGUGCAAAUACUGAUUCUUUGAGAGCUUUGGAGUGGACAAGUUCUGCAGGUUCUGCAUGGCAACGAUGAGUGAGAUCCAAGACAAGGAGGUAAGCUCAGGCUCUUUUGAACCCCGAACUGCAGACAUUCACAACAAACAGGUACAGGAGGUACAGCAGGAUCCCACUUUGGCAAAACAGUAUGGUGUAAAGGGACGAUGUGUACUAACUGACAGUCUGGAGCACUUUCAUGUUGUUCAUGGCUAUCCCCCUGACAUCCUACACGACUUUUUUGAAGGGGUUGUUCCUGUUGAGUUAUCACUCUGCAUUUCAGAACUGAUUUCUAAGAAAUAUUUCACAUUAGAAACACUGAACCAUGCUAUCACAUCUUUUGCAUAUGCUUUUCAUGACAAAACUGACCAGCCUCAGCCUAUUGCCCAAGGCUUCUCUACCAAAGGGACCAUAGGUGGAAAUGGCCAUGAGAACUGGGCUCUAAUCAGGUUGCUCCCACUUCUCAUUGGCCAUAAAGUGCCUGAAGGGGGACGAUGCCUGGAACGUUCUGAUGCUCCUUAAAGAUAUUGUUGAAUUGGCUGUAGCAACAAGGCACACUGAAGAGUCUAUACAUUUCUUUGAAUGCAAAGUGUCAGAACACAGAGAACUGUUGCAAACUACAUUCCCAAAUUUCAAAUUGCGUCCAAAACACCACUUCAUUGAGCAUUAUCCUGAGAUGAUUAAGGCAUUUGGCCCACUGUCAGAUGUCUGGACAAUGCGUUUCGAGGGAAAACAUAAAUUCUUCAAGCGGGUCAUUCGUAAUGCACACAACUUCAGACAUGUGGCACUUACACUGGCUGUAAAGCAUCAGAAAAUGAUGGCUUACUGUUUGGACACAAGUUCGUUUUUCAAGCCCUCAGUUGAGCUGGACAAGGUUACCACAGCACUGAUCACAUCUUUCCCCGAGAAUGUCCAACAAGUUUUCUGCAAUAGAGUACCCCAACUUACAAAGGUUAUGGUUGCAUCAUCAGUCUCUGUAGAUGGAAUUAGAUAUUAUGCUGAUAUGAUACUCUGUUGGUUCAUGUUCAGGCCUCCCCAAAUUUCAAACAGAUCAAGCAGAUUGUGGCAAUAAACACAGAGAUCUUGUUUGUCUGCAAUACAAUGAUGGCAUGGUACCAUGAACAUGUCAGAUCAUUUGAACUCUGUGGCAGCACAAAUCCCUCUUUAUGUGUGGUGGAACUAAAAGAGCUGAAUGAUGUUUUCCCUCUGUCAGCAUACAGAUUUGGAGAAAAUUCAGUAGUGACACUCACUCGUUAUAUUCUGUGUUGAGAAACCACAAGUGUUGUCAGUCCUAGCAUUGCUCUAGAUAGAGUCUAAAUGUAAG